CCUACGGGUGUCCGCAGUGGGGAAUCUUGCACAAUGGGGGAAACCCUGAUGCAGCAACGCCGCGUGAGUGAAGAAGUAUUUCGGUAUGUAAAGCUCUAUCAGCAGGGAAGAAGAUGACGGUACCUGAUUAAGAAGCCCCGGCUAACUACGUGCCAGCAGCCGCGGUAAUACGUAGGGGGCAAGCGUUAUCCGGAUUUACUGGGUGUAAAGGGAGCGCAGACGGCAGUGCAAGUCUGGAGUGAAAGCCCGGGGCCCAACCCCGGAACUGCUCUGGAAACUGUGCGGCUAGAGUACUGGAGGGGCAGGCGGAAUUCCUAGUGUAGCGGUGAAAUGCGUAGAUAUCUGGAGGAACAUCAGUGGCGAAGGCGACUAUCUGGCACAUAACUGACGCUGAGGAGCGAAAGCGUGGGUAGCAAACAGGAUUAGAUACCCCUGUAGUC
RNAcentral lists this ribosomal RNA (440 nucleotides) under uncultured bacterium. RNAcentral's name for it is "partial 16S ribosomal RNA". It matches the Rfam family "Bacterial small subunit ribosomal RNA", at positions 338 to 795 of the family's 1533-position model. The record is from RNAcentral.